RNAcentral lists this long non-coding RNA (875 nucleotides) under Daucus carota (carrot). Its description in RNAcentral is "long non-coding RNA (DCAR_LNC001113)". Lineage: Eukaryota; Viridiplantae; Streptophyta; Magnoliopsida; Apiales; Apiaceae. The record is from RNAcentral.
UUCUCUCCCUGCUGUGUGUCGCUCCUUUAGGGUUUCAAGGCCGCAUCGCCGGUGGAAAAUCAAUUCUCUGAUUAAGUCUAUCUAUCUCGCCGGAGCUGGUAUUCUCUCUACCCUUUCUCCAUUUCUUAAUUAGUCCCGGUUCCUGUGCUUUCGCUAUAGACACACUUUGUCCCCGGGGUUUUGAUGACAAAUCUCACGCGCCAAUCCUCUCUUCUUCCUCUCUCUCUUUGCAGUUUUCCUCACUUUCUCUCUCUACCCAUCUCCAUUUCCUCUUCAAAACCCCCCACUAAAAUCUUCAUUUUUGGGUUGGUGUUUGUCGCCGGAGACAAGUCCCGGAAUCUUUCCAGAGAGUGUGUGGCCUCUGUUCUUGAGUACAUGGACCCACAAGAGAUCUGUAAAGUGGUUGUUUUUAAUAAGGCUUUUCGGGGAGCUUCUUAUGCUGAUUUUGUUUUCGCAGCCUUAUUCUCAAUGGCUGGGGAAUGAUGAUAUCUCUUUGUUUAUCUUUGAUUUUUAUUUACAAUAUUAGAUAUUAACAAAAUAUCUAGUAUGUAUUUGAUGAAGUUCUGAGAUAGAUUUUUUUUGUUCCUUUUUGCAGGUCUAAAAUUUAUAAGGUUUCCAGAAUUUAUAAGCUCAAGUUUGUUCUCUAGGAGGGGCAAACACAUUGGGUCGUGCGACAAAGGUUGUUGUCAUGAACCGUAUUUCUUCUACUUCCUGCAUAAGCUUAGUUCUUCAUUUUAUUUCUGAAAUGUUAUUGCAUUCCUACUGUUUGAUAAAAGCUCUAAGAGAGUUUGUAAUCACUUUUGAAUUGCAUUUACAGCAGUAGUGGCUACUGAAUGUUGAAGGAAUGAUGAAAGUUGUGGAUGAGAGCAGGAGAG